Molecule: ribosomal RNA, 435 nt
Filed under: Lodderomyces parapsilosis
Lineage: Eukaryota; Fungi; Ascomycota; Pichiomycetes; Serinales; Debaryomycetaceae
Description: eukaryotic LSU rRNA
Rfam family: Eukaryotic large subunit ribosomal RNA
Source: RNAcentral
GAAUAUGUUUCUUGGAACAGAACGUCACAGAGGGUGAGAAUCCCGUGCGAUGAGAUGUCCCAGACCUAUGUAAAGUUCCUUCGAAGAGUCGAGUGUGGGAAUGCAGCUCUAAGUGGGUGGUAAAUUCCAUCUAAAGCUAAAUAUGGCGAGAGACCGAUAGCGAACAAGUACAGUGAUGUGAAAGAUGAAAAGAACUUUGAAAAGAGAGUGAAAAAGUACGUGAAAUUGUUGAAAGGGAAGGGCUUGAGAUCAGACUUGGUAUUUUGUAUGUUACUCUCUCGGGGGUGGCCUCUACAGUUUACCGGGCCAGGCAUCAAGUUUGACGCGGUAGGAUAAGUGCAAAAGAAAUGUGGCACUGCUUCGGUAGUGUGUUAUACGUCUUUGUACGAUAACUGCCAGCUUAAGACUGAGGACUUGCGGGCUUCGGCCUUAGAU